Molecule: long non-coding RNA, 293 nt
Organism: Orbicella faveolata
Lineage: Eukaryota; Metazoa; Cnidaria; Anthozoa; Scleractinia; Merulinidae
Source: RefSeq, a predicted model, not a curated record
GCGUUGCUAAUAGGUCUGAUCUUAAGCUUUUACUCUGAAGCCUGAAGACAGCUGUCAUGGAACAUAGACGCGGCACUGUUGGGAAUGGAGAGGUCGCUAUUGAUUUUCCAGGAGAAGGAAACUACAGCCAAAGACCUGCACCGCAUUCACCAACCCUUGGCCAUGUACACUGGAAUUCAUUUAGCAUUGAAAAUGAAACUCCUCGACAACAAAGCAACCCUGGCGUGAAUGCAAAAGUGAAGAAGACAAAACGAACUCCGAUAGAGUGGCUGAAGAAGUACUUCUUAGAAGGU